UUUCCGUAGGUGAACCUGCGGAAGGAUCAUUACAGAGAACUUGCCCUUCGGGGUAGAUCUCCCACCCUAUGUUUACCUUACCAUUGUUGCUUUGGCAGGCCCGCCCUUUUGGCCACUGGCUUCGGCUGGUCAGCGCCUGUCGAGGAUUCAAAACUCUUGUUUAAUUGUCGUCUGAGUACUAUAUAAAUAGUUAAAACUUUCAACAACGGAUCUCUUGGUUCUG
RNAcentral lists this unclassified non-coding RNA (223 nucleotides) under plant metagenome. RNAcentral describes it as "partial contains small subunit ribosomal RNA, internal transcribed spacer 1, and 5.8S ribosomal RNA". The record is from RNAcentral.